CCAUACUAACCCUAAUUUAAUUACCCUCCCCUCACCUUACCCACUCCCUCACACAUACAUACCAUGCCGCCACCCCCGAACCCAGCGGAAGAAAGAAAGAGAGAAGAGAGGGAGCUACGAAGAGGGAGGAAGAGGGAAGAGAAUAAGAAAGGAGAAGGGGAGACGGCGCCGGCGGGGCUGGGUACCACCGUUGUCACCGAGCUACAUGCUACCAUCCUCGACGGCGUGGUCACAUUGAAAGAGAGAGAGAGAUGAGGACCCGUCGAGCCACGCAUUGCCGCCGUCCAUGCGUCGUCGUUGAACGUCACCGAGAGAGGAAGGAACGCGAGCUAGAGGAGCUGUCGUCAACGAUCCAUGCCUCCGCGUCUCACCAAGCCAUUACCGUCGUACUUUGUCAUCUCCAUUGCCGCCGAAUAGAAGAGAGGAAACUGCUCCUGUUGCCGUUGAGCUAAACGCCGCCAUCAAAACUGAUCCCGGCCGACGCUGUGCUUGGUGGGCUCCCUCACCGCCACUGCUAUCGCCAGGGCUGUCAAGAGCUGUCAUUGUCACCGUUUAUGUCUAACCAGAAGAGAAGAUGUGACGGUGGAGGGUGUUGGUGUUGUUGCAGGUGACACCAAGCUGUUGUGUCACUGUCGGAGCUCUUUGUCGCCAUUCUGCUCGCCGAACGUCAUCACCAGAGCUGCAGCUGCUUUGUUCUAGGUUCUUUUUUUGUGUGUCGUAAGUUGUUUUACUCCGAAAACCCUUUUAGUUGUUGUUCUAUUAUAUGUUGCUGAAGUUUUUGCGGUGUUAUUGUCAUACGGUUGAGUUCUGGUUAUUGCAUGUCGCGAUUAAAGUUGCUGCUAUUGCUGUAGAAGUAGUAUGGAAUUGUGGUUGCAGUUGUUACUGUUGCGGGCCAAAAGAAUAAGGGUCUUGACACGUUUUGUGGCUUACGGGUUUCGACUAUUCGAGAGGCCGAUAUUUGAUUAUAUGUUGGGCUGGAAGCCGUGAUUGGUUAUGCUUGGGCCGGACGCCGUGGUUGGUAGAGCGUCAUGUUCAUGCACCAUCUCAUCAUCUUCAGAGUCUUCAGAUUCACACUCAUCAUCUUCAAGCUCCUGGUUUAUCCCUGUGACCAUACUGGCAUAGGAUCUUCCUUUUUUGAUAUCUUCAUUGUUCUGCAUCCAGCUUUCAACUCGAGAAACCAACGCAGAUGUUCCUUCGAAGCCUUCUUCUCUCUUUUUUUUAACUUUUUAGCACUACUUAUGGGUAGCUUCGUUCUCUGUUUCAGAGUGGUAUCUUUCAUCCGGAUCUCCCUCCAGUUAGCCAUGAUCAGCUAUUAGAGAAGGUGGAUUAGCAAUGCAAGUGUCCAUUUGGGAUCAAGGUGUACGGAGAGAAAACUGAUGGCUAAAUUGAAAGAGUAACCCCGACCACUAAUUGAUUGCAAUGUUGUUACUCCACCCUACUAAGAAAAAAAGAGUAAAGUAUCACUUUUGUCCCCAACGUUUGUGACAUGACGACAGGUAGCAGAGGUGUCACGAGUCGGUCUCGUGGUCAUGGUAGAGGGAGGGUUUCCACUGGUACCCCAGGGACUUCUCAGUCAUCGCCCUCUAGCCUGACUACCUCAUCGAUCCCUGUGACGUCACAGGCGGGUCCAUCAGACCAGUAGUUCAUCAUGGUACCGAACCCCAACUAUGUGACUCCUUCUGCUAUACCCCACCUUCGCCCCCCAACAACUCUAGCGACAGAGACUGCGGUGGGUGAUUUCUCUAAUGCGUCCCAGCCAGAUGCCCCUUUACUACCUCCCGUCAUACUGAUAAGGAUUUUUCUAAUGUAUUUCUCGUCAUUGGGCUAAAAGAAACAUAAGCCCAAUAUGUUGAUAACUUCCAACCUUGUGAAAUAUUGCUAUUGAAUAUGUGGCUGAGUUUUAUGUCAAUUGGGCCAGAAAAUUAUUGUGCAAGCCCAAAAAUAAUUCUUGUUACAAGACCAACAAAGGCUUGGUCCGAAAAUGAAAAAUGGAAGAAAGCAAUACUGCAUGCUAUCAACGGUUAUCCACU
Non-coding RNA from Arachis ipaensis, 2030 nucleotides. Lineage: Eukaryota; Viridiplantae; Streptophyta; Magnoliopsida; Fabales; Fabaceae. The record is from RefSeq and is a predicted model, not a curated record.